UCUGGCCUGUAUUCACUGCAUUGUUGUGAGCAGUUGGGCGCUGCAUCUCCAGAUUGGGACAGUCCUAGCUUGCAAGCAACAAUGUUGUGCAUUUGCAGGUCGAGUGCGCCGAGACUUUCGAGAAGGCGAUAUGAGCUCAAUUUUGAGGCCAGCUUGCUGGUACCCGGAUUGGAGGAAUGUUGUUCGUUUUGGAUGUGAAUGGGGGAAAGGUUUUCGGGCUCGUAUGGGUUCGAAUUGGUGUGGGGUGGCAGUUGCAUGCAACAUGUGCCUUCUGCCAAUUCGGUCCUGUGCGAGCUCACAAUCCCACUCUCGGCGUAAAAGUUGGUCAUCUAUCCGACCCGUCUUGAAACACGGACCAAGGAGUUUAUCGUGUGCGCAAGUCAUUGGGUGUUGAAAACUCAAAGGCGCAAUGAAAGUAAAGAAUCCGCAAGGAUACGACGUGUGAUCUGAGCAAUCACGAUUGCCUGGAGCAACAUGGCCCCAUUCUGGUCGCUUGCGACGGGGUGGAGGAAGAGCGUACGCGGUGAGACCCGAAAGAUGGUGAACUAUUCCUGAGCAGGAUGAAGCCAGAGGA
RNAcentral lists this ribosomal RNA (574 nucleotides) under Pratylenchus penetrans. RNAcentral describes it as "eukaryotic LSU rRNA". It matches the Rfam family "Eukaryotic large subunit ribosomal RNA", at positions 437 to 859 of the family's 3401-position model. Lineage: Eukaryota; Metazoa; Nematoda; Chromadorea; Rhabditida; Pratylenchidae. The record is from RNAcentral.